CUCAGGCUGCAUUGGUUAACGUUAGGGAGCGGUCACGUGACAAAAGAACGAAAGGACUCGGAGGACUCGAGAGAUGAACUAAUCUUUUCUCUUUCCGGCUCAGACUGCAUUGGUUAACGUCAGGGAGCGGUAAUGUGUUGAACCACAACGAGACUUAAACCCGACGACUUGUCAGAUCAGAGGUGAGGUGAGCUAGACUAAAGACCCAGAAAGUGUAAAUUGUGAGAAAGGGUGGAAAGAAAGUGAUGCCCAGCAAACUGCAGUCUCACCUUCAGAAAAGCAAGAACAAGAAUAUGAAAAAGAAACAGAAAAAAACAAAAUCCAAAGGGUCAGGAGAUACAAAUACAUUGAAACCUGUCAGAUGCAAAAGCAUGGAGCGUCUGGGACCAAAUUUCUCUCAUGAUCCAGUCAGAGCUGUAGAAUUUCGUUCUGAUGUACCAGAAGGUCCAGGAUGAGAAAACAGGACCUUUAUCUCCAGUAUUUGAUGGGUGAUCUGUCACCAGCUAGCCAAAUUUCUACUGUACUUGCAAGUUGCAAACAGUAACACAAAAGAAUACAAUUACUGAUAAUUCCAACUCAGGAAGAAGAUUGUCAAUUUUGGGGCAAGAAAGAGCUACCUGGAGCUACCUGAAAGAAGGACAUGAAGACCAUAACCAUUUCACAUCUAAAUACCUACACACACACACACACACACACACACUUCAGUCUACAAUAUCUACAUUGCAGCUGUAGGAUAUCAGAGUGAAUCAGACAAAUUGAAGAUUCAAUCAGAUCAUUGUUGAAACCAAAAAAGCCAAAUUCAACAAAGAGGCCCAAGCUAACCAGACCACGUCAUAAAUCGGUCCAUGAUACCCUGGCACCAGCCAGCCUGAAGUAAGCCUAACCAACUGACUUUGAACAGCUUUGUAGGGUAUCAGAGUGAAUCAGACAAAUGGAAGAUCCGAUCAGAAGAUUUGGUUGAAACCAAAGAGCCAAAUUCCACAAAGAGGCCCAAGCUAACCAGACAACGUCAUAAAUCUGUCCACGAUAACCUGGUGCCAGCCAGCCUGAAGUAAGCCUAACCAACCAACUUUCACAACUUUGAACAACUUGCAACAUUAACAAAAGAACCCAAUUAUUGAUAAUCCCAACUCAGAAAGGAGAUUGUCAAUUUUGGGGCAAGAAACCCAAGACCACUGGUCAAAGAUACAGCACAUCAGGACCAUCACAUGAGGAAACUUUGCCGCUAAGCCACGAACUUCCAGCCAAUCAGCAACCUUGGGAAACCCCCUUUCUGCAACGUCAUCAAAAAGUGAAUCCCUUAACACAAAGGCAAUGGAAGUACAAACCUCCAGAUUCUAGCUGAACUGGUGCAUUUGAUAUAAACUUUAAUAACCUCAUUAAGAAACUGAACGCGAGGGUUAAUUAAAUGAUUGAUGGUUGUUCAUAUUGCUAUAAACUAUAAAAUUUCAUAUUUCAUAUUUCACUCUUCUAAACUCUUUCCUCAUCUACCCUCUUUCCUCAACACGUGUGAAUGUGUGUCUAUGUGUUAGAUUAGUUUAUAUGUCUUAGGU
Labeo rohita (rohu) is the source of this 1553-nucleotide long non-coding RNA. RefSeq lists it as uncharacterized. The transcript has 4 exons. The record is from RefSeq and is a predicted model, not a curated record. Lineage: Eukaryota; Metazoa; Chordata; Actinopteri; Cypriniformes; Cyprinidae.